Molecule: long non-coding RNA, 977 nt
Organism: Pezoporus occidentalis (night parrot)
Lineage: Eukaryota; Metazoa; Chordata; Aves; Psittaciformes; Psittacidae
Exons: 3
Source: RefSeq, a predicted model, not a curated record
GACAGAAGAGGCUUGCAUAGCCUGGACAGUAAACCUCUUAAAUUUUCUGGGACUUCAGGGAUACAGGGUGUCUAAGAAAAAGGCUCAGGUAGUGAAACAGAAAGUGAUUUACUUGGGCUAUGAGGUUAGUGCUGGACAACAAACUCUGGGACAAGAUCGUAAGGAAGCAAUACGUCAAACCCCAAAACCCCGGACAAUAAAAGAACUACUGACCUUCCUGGGUAUGACGGGAUGGUGUAGGUUGUGGAUUUACAGCUACGGAUUGCUUGUAAAGCCUCUGUGUGCACUCAUUGCCAAUGGAAACAGAGACCUCCAGUGGACAAAGGAGGCCACAUGGGCCUUCAACCAGCUGAAGAAUGCUCUCAUGUCAGCUCCAGCUCUAGGACUUCCAGAUCUUCUUUCCUUAGUGGAAACAAAGGAGAAGCGGUACACCACGAUUGCCUGGAAACCAUUGAGGCCACAUACUCCAGCCGUCCAGACCUGAAGGAUACCCCUUUGGACAACGCAGAAACCUGGUUUACUGAUGGGAGCAGCUAUGUCAUCAGUGGAAAAUGACAUGCUGGAUAUGUUGUUACCACCUGCAGAGAGGUAAUAGAAUCUGGACCUUUGCCAAUAAACACCUCUGCACAAAAAGCAGAACUGAUUGCUCUGACUAGAGCCUUAGAAAUAGCAAAAGGAAAGAAUAUAAACAUCUAUACAGACUUGAGAUAAGCAUUUGGGGUUGUGCAUGCAUGUGGAGCCAUUUGGAAAGAAAGAGGACUGUUGAACUUGAAAGGGAAAAACAUCAAACAUGCACAAGAAAUAGUGCAACUGUUGAAAGCCCUCCAACUGCCUGAGAAGGCAGCAAUUAUGCACAUCAAGGCACACCAGAAGGUGAGCUCAGAAUUGGAGGAGGGAAAUGAACUGGCAGAGAGGGAGGCAAAAGAAGUGGCAAAAGGUUGGCCAGAAGCCUUUCCAACUAGAACUGCAAAGGCCCA